CGGACGGGUGAGUAACACGUGGAUAACCUACCUAUAAGACUGGGAUAACUUCGGGAAACCGGAGCUAAUACCGGAUAAUACAUUGAACCGCAUGGUUCAAUAGUGAAAGACGGUUUUGCUGUCACUUAUAGAUGUAUCCGCGCCGCAUUAGCUAGUUGGUAAGGUAACGGCUUACCAAGGCAACGAUGCGUAGCCGACCUGAGAGGGUGAUCGGCCACACUGGAACUGAGACACGGUCCAGACUCCUACGGGAGGCAGCAGAC
This 263-nucleotide ribosomal RNA is filed under the name uncultured Staphylococcus sp. RNAcentral describes it as "partial 16S ribosomal RNA". It matches the Rfam family "Bacterial small subunit ribosomal RNA", at positions 99 to 354 of the family's 1533-position model. The record is from RNAcentral. Lineage: Bacteria; Bacillati; Bacillota; Bacilli; Caryophanales; Staphylococcaceae.